GACGAACGCUGGCGGCGUGCCUAACACAUGCAAGUCGAACGGAGUUAAGUGCUUCGGUAUUUAACUUAGUGGCGAACGGGUGAGUAACGCGUGAGGAACCUGCCUUUCAGUGGGGGACAACAGUUGGAAACGACUGCUAAUACCGCAUGAUGCAGCGAGGGGGCAUCCCUUUGCUGCCAAAGCUUAANGUGCUGAAAGAUGGUCUCGCGUCUGAUUAGCUAGAUGGCGGGGUAACGGCCCACCAUGGCGACGAUCAGUAGCCGGUCUGAGAGGGUGAAACGGCACAUUGGGACUGAGACAC
RNAcentral lists this ribosomal RNA (301 nucleotides) under uncultured bacterium. RNAcentral's name for it is "bacterial SSU rRNA". It matches the Rfam family "Bacterial small subunit ribosomal RNA", at positions 28 to 327 of the family's 1533-position model. The record is from RNAcentral.